CAUGCCCCACCAUGAUGAUAAUGGACUAAACCUCUGAAACUACAAGGUCUAUGUAGCUCUAGCUAUCCUGGACUCACCAUGUGGACUUUUCCCUCCUUCGCUCUGAGGGGACAGUACCUACCCAGCGCAGAGCCUGCAACAAGAAGGCUUUCAAGCGGUCACUGCCCCAAAUCAAAUCCUUCUUCAGUUUCUCAUAAUCCAGGGAGGGCAGUAAUGGGAC
Myodes glareolus (Bank vole) is the source of this 220-nucleotide non-coding RNA. The record is from RefSeq and is a predicted model, not a curated record. NCBI's taxonomy places the organism in Eukaryota, Metazoa, Chordata, Mammalia, Rodentia, Cricetidae.